Mycena leptocephala is the source of this 90-nucleotide non-coding RNA. The record is from the annotation of a GenBank genome assembly. Lineage: Eukaryota; Fungi; Basidiomycota; Agaricomycetes; Agaricales; Mycenaceae.
GGCUCGGUAGCGGAUGGUCCGCAUCUGGACUUUAUUAGUAUAUCCCCAGAUGUAACGUAGAUGAUGCCUGUUCGACUCAGGCCCGAGCCA